CCGGAAGGUGCGGCUGGAUCACCUCCUUUCUAAGGAGCAGCUGGCGCGUCCUCCUUGUGAGGUCGCGUCCAGAGCCAUGUCUCGGGCGAAUGUCCCGAGAUGGCAGCUCGUUGUGGAGCACUGGUUAUUUGGUCAGAUCAUCGCUCAACCCAGUUAGUACGUCCUCAGGGACGGAAGGGUGGCGGCGGCGAGGGCCUGGUCUAGCACGCUGUUGGGUCCUGAGGGAACGGGCGUUUUGCCUUCUCUCUGGACCGGAUCGCCCCGCCGCGGAUGCGGCGGCGUGUGAGCCGGUACCGCCCGUAUCUUGAGAACUGCACAGUGGACGCGAGCAUCAAUUGUAGUCGCCAAGUUAAUAAGGGCACAC
Molecule: unclassified non-coding RNA, 364 nt
Filed under: uncultured bacterium
Lineage: Bacteria
Description: partial may contain 16S ribosomal RNA, 16S-23S ribosomal RNA intergenic spacer, and 23S ribosomal RNA
Source: RNAcentral